GACGAACGCUGGCGGCGUGCUUAAAACAUGCAAGUCGUACGAGACCGCCUUCGGGCGGGCGAGUGGCAAACGGCUGAGUAACGCGUGGGUGACCUGCCUGGAAGUGGGGAAUAACUGCCCGAAAGGGUGGCUAAUACCGCAUGUGAUGCCUUGUUCAGAUGAGGCAUGAAAGCCGUAAGGCGCUUCGAGAGGGGCCCGCGUCCGAUUAGCUAGUUGGUGGGGUAACGGCCUACCAAGGCGACGAUCGGUAGCUGGUCUAAGAGGAUGAUCAGCCAGACUGGGACUGCGACACGGCCCAGACUCCUACGGGAGGCAGCAGUUAGGAAUUUGGCAAUGGGCGAAAGCCUGACCCAGCAACGCCGCGUGGGUGAUGAAGGCC
This 379-nucleotide ribosomal RNA is filed under the name uncultured bacterium. RNAcentral describes it as "bacterial SSU rRNA". It matches the Rfam family "Bacterial small subunit ribosomal RNA", at positions 28 to 416 of the family's 1533-position model. The record is from RNAcentral.